UACGUAGGUGGCAAGCGUUGUCCGGAUUUAUUGGGUUUAAAGGGUGCGUAGGUGGUCAAUUAAGUCAGUGCUGAAAUAUCCCGGCUUAACCGGGAGGGUGGCAUUGAUACUGAUUGACUUGAGUGGAGUUGAGGUAGGCGGAAUUGACGGUGUAGCGGUGAAAUGCUUAGAUAUCGUCAAGAACGCCGAUAGCGAAGGCAGCUUACCAAGCUCUAACUGACACUGAUGCACGAAAGUGUGGGGAUCAAACAGG
RNAcentral lists this ribosomal RNA (253 nucleotides) under uncultured bacterium. RNAcentral's name for it is "partial 16S ribosomal RNA". It matches the Rfam family "Bacterial small subunit ribosomal RNA", at positions 524 to 776 of the family's 1533-position model. The record is from RNAcentral.